Long non-coding RNA from Polistes dominula (European paper wasp), 820 nucleotides. NCBI's taxonomy places the organism in Eukaryota, Metazoa, Arthropoda, Insecta, Hymenoptera, Vespidae. The record is from RefSeq and is a predicted model, not a curated record.
UGUUGUAUUGUACAUCCCUAUCUAGUUUUAUUUAAACAGCAAAAUUGUUCUCUCUUAAAAUUUGAUAAACCGAUACGGUUGUUAUAUCCGUGGCCUGGAAGUGUACCAACUCGGUUGAUAAAUUGCAGGUAGCGUGCAGAGAUAAUCUCUAAGAGAUUUUUCUCUCUUUCUCUCGUGUAAGAACGAACUCGUUACCGAAGAUGACUGCAGUCUCUAAGAUGGGAAUAGGUGUAUGGUGUGGUCAUGCCUGGCACCUAUUUUUGUGGAUCUGGGUGACAGAACAGCACGUUUAUUAGUAGCCAGCGCUCCCUGGCGUUUAACUGUCGUUGACGACGAUGACGACGACGACGACGACGAAGACGACCAUCACCAAGGAACGAACUUGGUGAACGUCCAAAAUCUAUAUACAAGCUAGAGAAGAAGUACCUUUACACGACCGCCAUCUCCUUCGUUUUCCAAUGCCAUCAUCAUUGCGCAAGUUACUUCGUAAAUGUUACAAUUAAUCAACUGAAUGAAUUUCUGACGAUGAUAAUAUACGCCGCCGCCGCCGCCGCCGCCGCCGCCGUCGAUAUUUUUCGAAGAAGGGAAAAAAGGGCUGAGGGAUGAGGGAAAGAAGAAACCUUUUCUUCGAAUGGAAAAAGAACAUACGGAGUUGUUAGAAAAACGCAAUGUAUAGAUAACGAUGUACCAUAUAAACUUUAUUUUACUUCAUAAAAAAUUGUAAAAUUGGUUUUAUUUUUUGGGACUAAGCGGUAUUAAAGUCGGUGUCUCAUCUUUUUGAUGCAUAAAUGUGCACGGUAGUAUUAUUAGAAUCUCAUCC